This 274-nucleotide ribosomal RNA is filed under the name uncultured bacterium. RNAcentral describes it as "partial 16S ribosomal RNA". It matches the Rfam family "Bacterial small subunit ribosomal RNA", at positions 523 to 796 of the family's 1533-position model. The record is from RNAcentral.
AUACGGAGGGUGCAAGCGUUAAUCGGAAUUACUGGGCGUAAAGCGUACGUAGGCGGUUAUUUAAGUCAGAUGUGAAAGCCCCGGGCUUAACUUGGGAACUGCAUUUGAAACUGGGUAACUAGAGUUUAGUAGAGGGGAGUGGAAUUUCAGGUGUAGCGGUGAAAUGCGUAGAGAUCUGAAGGAACACCAGUGGCGAAGGCGACUCCCUGGACUAAAACUGACGCUGAGGUACGAAAGCGUAGGUAGCAAACAGGAUUAGAAACCCCAGUAGUCC